UGGGGAAUUUUGGACAAUGGGCGAAAGCCUGAUCCAGCAAUGCCGCGUGUGUGAAGAAGGCCUUCGGGUUGUAAAGCACUUUUGUCCGGAAAGAAAUCCUUGGCUCUAAUACAGUCGGGGGAUGACGGUACCGGAAGAAUAAGCACCGGCUAACUACGUGCCAGCAGCCGCGGUAAUACGUAGGGUGCAAGCGUUAAUCGGAAUUACCGGGCGUAAAGCGUGCGCAGGCGGUUUGCUAAGACCGAUGUGAAAUCCCCGGGCUCAACCUGGGAACUGCAUUGGUGACUGGCAGGCUAGAGUAUGGCAGAGGGGGGUAGAAUUCCACGUGUAGCAGUGAAAUGCGUAGAGAUGUGGAGGAAUACCGAUGGCGAAGGCAGCCCCCUGGGCCAAUACUGACGCUCAUGCACGAAAGCGUGGGGAGCAAACAGGAUUAGAUACCCUGGUAGUCCACGCCCUAAAACGAUGUCAACUAGUUGUUGGGGAUUCAUUUCCUUAGUAACGUAGCUAACGCGUGAAGUUGACCGCCUGGGGAGUACGGUCGCAAGAUUAAAACUCAAAUGAAUUGACGGGGUCAUAGCUGUUUCCU
RNAcentral lists this ribosomal RNA (586 nucleotides) under uncultured bacterium. Its description in RNAcentral is "partial 16S ribosomal RNA". It matches the Rfam family "Bacterial small subunit ribosomal RNA", at positions 355 to 1375 of the family's 1533-position model. The record is from RNAcentral.